GACGGACGCUGGCGGCGUGCUUAACACAUGCAAGUCGAACGGAAAGGCCCUGCUUUUGUGGGGUGCUCGAGUGGCGAACGGGUGAGUAACACGUGAGUAACCUGCCCUUGACUUUGGGAUAACUUCAGGAAACUGGGGCUAAUACCGGAUAGGAGCUCCUGCUGCAUGGUGGGGGUUGGAAAGUUUCGGCGGUUGGGGAUGGACUCGCGGCUUAUCAGCUUGUUGGUGGGGUAGUGGCUUACCAAGGCUUUGACGGGUAGCCGGCCUGAGAGGGUGACCGGCCACAUUGGGACUGAGAUACGGCCCAGACUCCUACGGGAGGCAGCAGUGGGGAAUAUUGCACAAUGGGCGGAAGCCUGAUGCAGCAACGCCGCGUGCGGGAUGACGGCCCUCGGGUUGUAAACCGCUUUCGCCUGUGACGAAGCGUGAGUGACGGUAAUGGGUAAAGAUGCACCGGCUAACUACGUG
RNAcentral lists this ribosomal RNA (468 nucleotides) under uncultured bacterium. RNAcentral's name for it is "partial 16S ribosomal RNA". It matches the Rfam family "Bacterial small subunit ribosomal RNA", at positions 28 to 507 of the family's 1533-position model. The record is from RNAcentral.